Molecule: transfer RNA, 76 nt
Filed under: Acidobacteriota bacterium
Lineage: Bacteria; Pseudomonadati; Acidobacteriota
Also listed under: 1 other name
Description: Acidobacteria bacterium (wastewater metagenome) tRNA-Thr
Rfam family: tRNA
About the family: Transfer RNA (tRNA) molecules are approximately 80 nucleotides in length. Their secondary structure includes four short double-helical elements and three loops (D, anti-codon, and T loops).
Source: RNAcentral
GCCGGUGUAGCUCAGUUGGUAGAGCAGCUGAUUCGUAAUCAGCAGGUCGCUGGUUCAAGUCCAGUCGCCGGCUCCA